Long non-coding RNA from Polistes canadensis, 1245 nucleotides. RefSeq lists it as uncharacterized. NCBI's taxonomy places the organism in Eukaryota, Metazoa, Arthropoda, Insecta, Hymenoptera, Vespidae. The record is from RefSeq and is a predicted model, not a curated record. The transcript has 2 exons.
UGUACUUGUUAUUGGUUGCAGUAUAUGCAACAAUCUAUUUGCCGUUGCUUGUUUACGUUGACGAUUGAUUCGAAAUAAAACAUGAGAACGAGAUAUCUUGUGACCGAUACGCAACGUUUGAGUGCAUAAAAACGAAGAUAUCUUGUGACCCAUACGCAAUAUGUUAAUAUAUUUUAGAGUUUUUCAAAUAUUUAUAUAGAAUCUUAAUAUCGAAGUAUUUUUGCUGCUUAUUUAUCACUUAAAGUUUGAAUAUUUUUUUACUCAAAGAUCUCACUAGGACUAAAAGUCCUAGUAUUUAUUCAGAAAUUCAAUAUCACAGAUUAUCAUCCUCAUCAUCGUUUUUCAAAAACUCGAACAUCAAAUCUUAGAGGGAAUGGAAUGCAGAGUUCCAGCAAAACAGCAUAUUUUUUCUUUCUAAUAGGUAUCCAAUCCAUUGAAGGAAGGUAACUGUAAUGUCUACUUGUUGAAGUUUAAACAUUUUUUUACUCGAAGACCGAACUCACUGAAGAGUUACCCGACACUCAUCAUUUUUUUACUCGAAGACCUCACUGAAGAGUUACCGACACUCAUCAUAGGAUUAAACAUUCAUGAAAUUUCUAACUUUUGCUCAAUUAUUGAUUUCUUUUUAUUAAUAUAUUUUAGAGUUUUUCAAAUAUUUAGAAUCUUAAUAUCGAAAUAUUUUUGCUGCUUAUUUGUCAUUUAAAGUUUAAACAUUUCUAUUUUUAUUUACAGAAACAUGACACAUCAAAAUCUUUAAUAAAAUAUAUUAAAGUAAGUCAUUGAUUUUUAAAAAUAUAUUUACAUAAAAUUUCAUAUUCAUCAACAUAUUUAAAUUAGAAAGAAGAAGACGCGUAUAAAGAAUCAAGAUCAAGAAACCACACUUUAGUGAAUAAUAUAAUUAAAUUUAUUUUAAUGUUUAAUUAAAUUUAUAUCUUCGUUUUUAGCAUUGGACUGUGAUUACCAAAACGUGUUUGGAUAUGCUCUUAACGUCAUAUGCUAAUAAUAGAAAAUUGGUGUCAGAAAUGGCAUUAACGAAAGUAAAAAUAAUAUCGUAAUAAUAAGUAAAUCAGUGCAUAUAACUUUCGUGCUGUUUAAGCACGCAUGUUUUCCCCUUGUAACCAUAAAUGGAGCAGUAAUUCCAAUCAAGGAUUCAGUCAAAUACCUAGGUAUGAUAUUAUCAUAGAUAAAAGACUGAUGUGGAAAAAACAUAAACAAUUAAAAACAAAUUACCUAAAGAAAAAAAUA